CVMASUACNUGCGGGUGAGUAAUGCCUAGGAAAUUGCCCUGAUGUGGGGGAUAACCAUUGGAAACGAUGGCUAAUACCGCAUGAUGCCUACGGGCCAAAGAGGGGGACCUUCGGGCCUCUCGCGUCAGGAUAUGCCUAGGUGGGAUUAGCUAGUUGGUGAGGUAAGGGCUCACCAAGGCGACGAUCCCUAGCUGGUCUGAGAGGAUGAACAGCCACACUGGAACUGAGACACGGUCCAGACUACUACGGGAGGCAGCAGUGGGGAAUAUUGCACAAUGGGCGCAAGCCUGAUGCAGCCAUGCCGCGUGUGUGAAGAAGGCCUUCGGGUUGUAAAGCACUUUCAGUCGUGAGGAAGGUAGUGUAGUUAAUAGCUGCAUUAUUUGACGUUAGCGACAGAAGAAGCACCGGCUAACUCCGUGCCAGCAGCCGCGGUAAUACGGAGGGUGCGAGCGUUAAUCGGAAUUACUGGGCGUAAAGCGCAUGCAGGUGGUUUGUUAAGUCAGAUGUGAAAGCCCGGGGCUCAACCUCGGAAUAGCAUUUGAAACUGGCAGACUAGAGUACUGUAGAGGGGGGUAGAAUUUCAGGUGUAGCGGUGAAAUGCGUAGAGAUCUGAAGGAAUACCGGUGGCGAAGGCGGCCCCCUGGACAGAUACUGACACUCAGAUGCGAAAGCGUGGGGAGCAAACAGGAUUAGAUACCCUGGUAGUCCACGCCGUAAACGAUGUCUACUUGGAGGUUGUGGCCUUGAGCCGUGGCUUUCGGAGCUAACGCGUUAAGUAGACCGCCUGGGGAGUACGGUCGCAAGAUUAAAACUCAAAUGAAUUGACGGGGGCCCGCACAAGCGGUGGAGCAUGUGGUUUAAUUCGAUGCAACGCGAAGAACCUUACCUACUCUUGACAUCCAGAGAACUUUCCAGAGAUGGAUUGGUGCCUUCGGGAACUCUGAGACAGGUGCUGCAUGGCUGUCGUCAGCUCGUGUUGUGAAAUGUUGGGUUAAGUCCCGCAACGAGCGCAACCCUUAUCCUUGUUUGCCAGCGAGUAAUGUCGGGAACUCCAGGGAGACUGCCGGUGAUAAACCGGAGGAAGGUGGGGACGACGUCAAGUCAUCAUGGCCCUUACGAGUAGGGCUACACACGUGCUACAAUGGCGCAUACAGAGGGCGGCCAACUUGCGAAAGUGAGCGAAUCCCAAAAAGUGCGUCGUAGUCCGGAUUGGAGUCUGCAACUCGACUCCAUGAAGUCGGAAUCGCUAGUAAUCGUGGAUCAGAAUGCCACGGUGAAUACGUUCCCGGGCCUUGUACACACCGCCCGUCACACCAUGGGAGUGGGCUGCAAAAGAAGUAGGUAGU
This 1346-nucleotide ribosomal RNA is filed under the name Vibrio neocaledonicus. RNAcentral describes it as "bacterial SSU rRNA". It matches the Rfam family "Bacterial small subunit ribosomal RNA", at positions 92 to 1434 of the family's 1533-position model. The record is from RNAcentral. Lineage: Bacteria; Pseudomonadati; Pseudomonadota; Gammaproteobacteria; Vibrionales; Vibrionaceae.